UGCAGUCGAGCGGGGUGAUGGUGCUUGCACUAUCACUUAGCGGCGGACGGGUGAGUAAUGCUUAGGAAUCUGCCUAUUAGUGGGGGACAACAUCUCGAAAGGGAUGCUAAUACCGCAUACGUCCUACGGGAGAAAGCAGGGGAUCACUUGUGACCUUGCGCUAAUAGAUGAGCCUAAGUCGGAUUAGCUAGUUGGUGGGGUAAAGGCCUACCAAGGCGACGAUCUGUAGCGGGUCUGAGAGGAUGAUCCGCCACACUGGGACUGAGACACGGCCCAGACUCCUACGGGAGGCAGCAGUGGGGAAUAUUGGACAAUGGGGGGAACCCUGAUCCAGCCAUGCCGCGUGUGUGAAGAAGGCCUUAUGGUUGUAAAGCACUUUAAGCGAGGAGGAGGCUCUUUUGGUUAAUACCCAGAAUGAGUGGACGUUACUCGCAGAAUAAGCACCGGCUAACUCUGUGCCAGCAGCCGCGGUAAUACAGAGGGUGCAAGCGUUAAUCGGAUUUACUGGGCGUAAAGCGCGCGUAGGCGGCCAAUUAAGUCAAAUGUGAAAUCCCCGAGCUUAACUUGGGAAUUGCAUUCGAUACUGGUUGGCUAGAGUGUGGGAGAGGAUGGUAGAAUUCCAGGUGUAGCGGUGAAAUGCGUAGAGAUCUGGAGGAAUACCGAUGGCGAAGGCAGCCAUCUGGCCUAACACUGACGCUGAGGUGCGAAAGCAUGGGGAGCAAACAGGAUUAGAUACCCUGGUAGUCCAUGCCGUAAACGAUGUCUACUAGCCGUUGGGGCCUUUGAGGCUUUAGUGGCGCAGCUAACGCGAUAAGUAGACCGCCUGGGGAGUACGGUCGCAAGACUAAAACUCAAAUGAAUUGACGGGGGCCCGCACAAGCGG
Molecule: ribosomal RNA, 883 nt
Filed under: Acinetobacter soli
Lineage: Bacteria; Pseudomonadati; Pseudomonadota; Gammaproteobacteria; Moraxellales; Moraxellaceae
Description: bacterial SSU rRNA
Rfam family: Bacterial small subunit ribosomal RNA
Source: RNAcentral